Molecule: long non-coding RNA, 1481 nt
Organism: Bombus pascuorum
Lineage: Eukaryota; Metazoa; Arthropoda; Insecta; Hymenoptera; Apidae
Exons: 2
Source: RefSeq, a predicted model, not a curated record
AACAGUUAAAUCGCGCGCUACCGCCGCCCAAGUAUCAGGGAAUGCGUACGAGGUGGUACGGAAACCGACUAUCACAGGUUUAUACCGGAUAAAUCUUGUUUCUUCCCGCGUGCAAAGUGUUCUCCAUCGCUGUUCUUCGAACGUUCCUAUCUUUCUCGGCGAGUCUCUCGAUGUUGUCAGUCAGAACCGCUCGAAACCCGAGUGUGUCCAUGGAGAACGUUAGCAGUUAGCAGCAAGCGCGAGAGUUGUCGUGUCGUCGAUCUCGCGCCAACCUAUCGACCAGCCAGCCAGUAAACUAACCAACCAGCCAGGCAACUAGUCAGCCAAUACGGGAAGAUAGAGAAAGAAGAAUCGCGGAUGAUUACCAAAUUUAUGAGGGACAAAAUAAUAUUGACACCGAUUUCGUGUGGCCUUGACGAUCUUCUCUAAGAAUCGUUCAUUCGAAACGACUUCUACGACUUCGAAGGUCCUCGAAUCAGAUGGGCACCGAUAAUUUGCAUUUUAAAUGCUUCUCAGAAAGGAACUUUUGGGCAUGUAUAGAGAAGAUUAAUUUAUACCGUGCAUGAGUAGAAGUAGAACGAAGGUAUCAAUGGUUCGAGAUAUUCUCUUUCUGGUUUUCUUUUUUUAUCUUGGAUAGGACAUUCGGUAAACGUUCGAGGGAAUUUUGAGCCGGAUGAAGUUCGUGCAUAUUCGAUGAGGAAGACUCUGUUUAACCUAACGGUACCGUUAAUUAGAGCUGAUUUAUAGUAUUGAUGGGUAGCUCGUGGUAUGUUUUCUACUGGAUUUCCUUAUGUUACUGCUUCAGUGAAUGUAUAUGCUUUAACGCAGUCUAACAAUUUUGUUAUAAGUUACUACUGAACGAUAAUUCAGGUUUUAAAACACCUAUUGACUACGUAAUUCCGUUCUAUUCGACUUAUCGUCCUCAUUUUGCACCAUUAGCUUUGCAUCAAAUUUCUCUAAUAUGCUAAUCGAUGUGUGAGCCUGGCUUUCAAAGUAAUUUUUAUAGAUUUAUCUAUGGAAAAUAUUCGUUAUAUCGAUCGUUAAUAAGAAUAUGAUAUUAACGAUUAUAAUAAAGAUCGUACGACGUUGAUCGUUAAUAAGGAUAGGAAAUUUCAUUUCAAUAAGCUGACUUUUAUACGACUUUGUUUUAAAUAAAUUCUUAAAUAACAAUUAUUAUUUUAUUGAGAUUCGAUCACUGACUAUUGUUAUUGAGUAUGUUAAUAUUGAUUAUAGUAAUGAUAAACGACGUUGACAUUGAGAACGAUGGACUUCGCUACAUUAACCUCUCACCAUGAAUUCAUUCAAUGUUAUCCAGAAAAAAAACUGAAAUCCUUCAAACAUCCUCCUUUCUUUCCAUUUUUUACAUACAUAUACUUCUACGUAAUAUAAGACAAAUAAAAAAGAUUUCUCAUCUUCCAUAUAAGCUUGAUGCAAGUCAAAUAGCCAAAAAUUCCUACAACAAAUUUAACGCAAGUCAAAUA